This 244-nucleotide ribosomal RNA is filed under the name uncultured bacterium. Its description in RNAcentral is "partial small subunit ribosomal RNA". It matches the Rfam family "Bacterial small subunit ribosomal RNA", at positions 26 to 285 of the family's 1533-position model. The record is from RNAcentral.
AGAAUCAACGCUGGCGGCGUGCCUAACACAUGCAAGUCGAACGAGAAAGGGUAGCAAUACCUGAGUAAAGUGGCGCACGGGUGAGUAACACGUGACUAACCUACCUUUUAGUGGGGGAUAACCUAGGGAAACCUGGGCUAAUACCGCAUAAUACCUACGGGUCAAAGCAGCAAUGCGCUGAAUGAGGGGUCGCGGUCGAUUAGCUAGUUGGCGGGGUAAUGGCCCACCAAGGCAGUGAUCGGUA